Long non-coding RNA from Homo sapiens (human), 436 nucleotides. RefSeq lists it as uncharacterized. The record is from RefSeq and is a predicted model, not a curated record. The transcript is spliced from 6 exons. NCBI's taxonomy places the organism in Eukaryota, Metazoa, Chordata, Mammalia, Primates, Hominidae.
GUAAACCAAGCUGCAUGGGUCCUGACACACAAGGCCUGCCACAGGAACACUCAGCCCCAAUUCAGUAUAGUUUUCUAUUGACUUGACUACUCUAACCUGCAAGAUCUCAAACUGAAUAUACAAAAAGACAGUCUAUGGAUGUCAAUACUGAGAUAACAGAGAAGCUAAAGUUAUCUGAAGCAAAAUGUAAAACAAUCAUGAUAAAACUGAUGAAGAUGGCCUUUUCUGGUCCGCCUGGUAAACUCCUAUUCUUCCUUCAGAUUCAGCCCAAAUCAGUCUUCAGUAAUAAUUCUCACUUACUGGACUUGGCGCUUGACUGAGAGAGUGAGGCAGACAGAUGACUUUGGACCGUACUGGUGAAAAAUAAGGGCACACUUAACAUUUUGUUCAACAGUGUUUGAAGGAUAAAAAUGAUUCCUGCCUACGUGAAAAAAAU